UCGAGGAGGCCUAUAUCUGCAGUCAGCGUGCUGUUAGUUUCUCUGUUUAAGUGCAGCAGCCUAAGCUGACGCUGGACAGCACAUGAACUCGCUACAUAUUUGGGAAAGCAGCGGGGGCAGCGCGUUGCGUCAUCACGUUCUUCUGUUGCUCCAGCUGUAGCGCAGCAACAAUUCCUUGGGAUAGCUCAAUGGAGAACCAGAGUCCUUCAGCCAAGGCCGUUAUCUUUUAUCUCACGACAAGGUCUUUCUCUGCACGUCUACGGUCUCUAUGUCACAGACUCCACCUGGUGGUGCAGGACUCCUCGUCGUCUUGUUAAAUGAUUAAAAGAACACGACCGCCACAGCGUGGAAACACGAGUCAACAUGCAGAAUUGAUGGAGAAAUGUCAGAAUGAAAAAUGAAAAACUGAAGAUCUGCUCAGAAAAUGGGACAUACUUUCUAAAACAAGCGAGCAUGGAUUCCCACUGUAAACGCAGACCACUGAGGACACAUGUCUUCCUUGCUUCCAUCAACCCCACCUCGCAUAUAUACGCCUAUAGACGCACAUCCCUUCAUCCCAAUAAACAGUAUGCCUAUUUAACCUCAAGGGUAGCCAUCCGCAUCAUGUUAUUGGACCAGUUGGACCAUUCUGUCUGAUUUCCUACUUUCUGCAGUAAAUAUUAAGGGACCGUAAGGGACAGUUGACUCAAAAGCCUUUUCAUGGACAGAUGUGGGCUAUUCCUUAUUAUUUCUGCAUCAAUUAAGCAAGUAAAAGAUCUGGAGAAAAAAAACAAUGUAUGUGUAUGUGUAUGAUCGGAAGGUUCACGAACACGGUAAAGAAAAACCCUUUCAUCCAGACAUCCAGCCAAGUGAAGAACCCUCUCCAGGAGGUAGACGUGUCACUGUCAAAGUCUACAAUCAAGAGAAAACGUCACCAGAGCAAAUACAGAGGGUUCACCACAAGUUGCAGGGCCUUGAUUAGACUUAGUCAAAAACAGCCAGAUGACAAUGAUAGAAAGAAAAAAGUAUGGAGAAUUAUGGAAAAGGUCUCAUGAACAGCUCAUGAUCCAAAUCAUACAACAUCAUCUGUAAAACAUUGGGUAGUGAAAUAUGCAUAGCUUCUAGUGACACUGGGUUACUGCUGUUUAAUUAAUAAUGUGACAUAGAGACAUAAGAUGUAAACAGCUUGAAUUCUGAAGUGUACGGUCAUAUUCUCUAUGAACAGAUUCAAACUAUUAUUUAUAAUUACAUUUAUUUGACCACUUUUGAACAGUUCUGAUUCCUAAGCAUAUUAUUUUAUAUUUCAGCCCCUUGAUUUAAAGCCUAAAGUCUGCGUUUCAGUCACAUAUUGUUUGAUUUAUUUCAAAUCUAUUGUAAUGGUGUAUUAAGGCAAUAGUACAAAAACUCAGUCAGUGUUUCCGGAUCCGACGGUAUAUGCAUUUCUUUGUUUUGUCUAAUAUAACCUUUCAUUCAUUGCCUUU
Molecule: long non-coding RNA, 1460 nt
Organism: Puntigrus tetrazona (Sumatra barb)
Lineage: Eukaryota; Metazoa; Chordata; Actinopteri; Cypriniformes; Cyprinidae
Exons: 6
Source: RefSeq, a predicted model, not a curated record